This 749-nucleotide long non-coding RNA is filed under the name Rattus norvegicus (Norway rat). RNAcentral's name for it is "long non-coding RNA NONRATT028045". The record is from RNAcentral. Lineage: Eukaryota; Metazoa; Chordata; Mammalia; Rodentia; Muridae.
CGGCACGUAGCCACCAAUUACAUGGGGUUAUCUAAAGUUAGCUUACUUCAAAAAGUAAGUAAAGUUUAGUUUCUCAGAUAUACUAACUACAUGUCAACACUAAACAGCCAUACUGAACAGGAAAGGUCUAGAACGUUUUCGUCGCGACAUAAAGUUCUAUGAGACAGAGUAACUAACAGAACUAAGGCGAGCUCGUCCGAGAACACUACCGCCUCUCUUGAGGCUAGACCAGUGGCGUCGGGCGUGACCGCACGUCUCUCCGCUGCACCCUGUUCCUCAGGAGAUCCGCGCGGACACAGAACCCACGCGCAGGGAGGACCUUUCACAGGACGGGCGUUAACAAACAGUGCACCAGGCGCUGCAAAAGCUCCCAAACACGAUAUAAAUCAGGAGCCUCCAAGGUGGUGCGUUUUCCUGGAGCGCCCAGAGGGGCAGGCCCAAGUGCACCGGCGCCGGCGGGCCAGAGGCGCUGGCCUCCGACCUCUCGGUGAGCUAAAGAGGCAACGAGGAAGAGAAACCCAGGAAAGACACCAGGCGCCCCACGGCGCCGGCUGUUGCCUCCGGGAGUGUCUCUAGGACAGCGGGGAACAUCGGGACCUGGGACGCCCCGGCCUCGAAGGCGGCGGCGAAGGCGGAGCCCCGACCGCGCCGGAGAGGCGCGCGGGGAUCCCCCCCCCCGAGGCCAGUCAAGAGUAAACAAGGCCUCGACUCACGCCGCGCACUUACCGGGAGCCGCGACCUCGCGGCCG